GACGAACCGUGCGAACGUUGUUCGGAAUCACUGGGCUUAAAGCGCGCGCAGGCGGUCCUUUAAGUCUGAUGUGAAAGCCCACGGCUCAACCGUGGAGGGUCAUUGGAAACUGGGGGACUUGAGUGCAGGAGAGAAGAGUGGAAUUCCACGUGUAGCGGUGGAAUGCGCAGAUAUCAGGAGGAACACCGGUGGCGAAGGCAGCUCGCUGGGACGUGACUGACGCUGAGACGCGAAAGCGUGGGGAGCAAACAGG
This 253-nucleotide ribosomal RNA is filed under the name uncultured bacterium. RNAcentral's name for it is "partial 16S ribosomal RNA". It matches the Rfam family "Bacterial small subunit ribosomal RNA", at positions 524 to 776 of the family's 1533-position model. The record is from RNAcentral.